Molecule: unclassified non-coding RNA, 676 nt
Filed under: Hevea brasiliensis (rubber tree)
Lineage: Eukaryota; Viridiplantae; Streptophyta; Magnoliopsida; Malpighiales; Euphorbiaceae
Source: RNAcentral
CAAAUUCAAUGCAAGUGGGACGAUAGGCGAAGUUUCAAGCAGGUUAGAGCCUCCUAAACCUGAAAUUGUCAGUGAAGAGAAGGAUUAUACGUCAGAAGUAUCACAAAUUGGGCAAACUGAAACCAAGGGUGAAUACAAGAGGACUUUAUCUGCUGGUCUUAAAAGCCCAGGAGCUGAAACACCAAAGACGGCCAUCUUGCACAGAAUCAAUUCUAAGAAGGCAGUAAAAUCUUAUCAAUUGGGGCAUCAGCUUUCACUCAACUGGUCAACAGGAGCUGGGCCAAGGAUUGGGUGCGUUGCUGACUACCCUGGAGAAGUCGCACAACAAGCUUUGGAAUUUGUUAACCUAUCUCCAAGAAGUCCGGAGUUACCUAAUUCGCUGCCUCCCCUCCGAACCACGAACAGGGUCGCGCGUCCGAAACGCGAUACUCUGGGGUUCUAAAAGCUCGGAAACACGUCCUGUUUCGCUGAAAUAGGGGUUCCAAACAGGCAGGCAGCAACAUGCAAGAAAGAGAAAGAACAACAAAGAACAGAAAAAAACAAAAACAAAAAGUUGGGAAUUGGGACUGCUUUCUUCUUCUCCAUAUUUUAGAGGGAUAGGUGGCUGUUAAGGAUAUGUGCGCAAAAAUGUGAAAUGACGACUUUGAGAUUGUUUUUUUUUUAAUUUCUAUAAUAA